GUUUGCUACACUACCGCCUUCUGAAGUAAAAAAGGGUUCAGGGUUAGAAUCAAGAUAUCACUUCGUUUGAGUGAUUUAGUGUUGCUGUGUACUCUUUUUAUUUUGGAAUGAAUUUAUACAAUUUCAUUUAUCACAUUUUUCAAGUGAAAUACAAACAAACUCGAUAAAUUUAAUAGUGUCAACAUAAAAAUUAUCAGUGGGCUUUCAUACACCAUUAAUAAACGACAUUCAAUAAAGAAUUUUAGAAAUGGCUGCUGCUGCUGCUGCUGCCCUGCUUGAUGAACUUAUGGGAAGAAACAGAAAUGUUCUUCCUAAUGAAAAACCUAAAGAACUUAAUUGGGAAGAUCCUGAAUUUUGUAAAUUAUAUUUAGUUAAAUUUUGUCCUCAUGAUUUAUUUGUUAAUACAAGAGCUGAUUUGGGUGCAUGUUCUCGAGUACAUGAUGAUGAAGCUAGAGAACUGUUCGAAAAAGCUCCAUAUUCAUAUCGAAAACAACAAUAUGAAGAUGAAUUUAUUAGAUUUUGUCAAAGUAUGUUAAAUGAAGUCGAAAGAAAAAUAAUAAAGGGAAAACAACGAUUAGCUCUUAUUGGAAGAACUGAAGCGCCUACUUUAACACCAGCACAAACUCAGAGAAAUGAAGAACAAAUUGCACUUUUAACUGAGAAAAUUAAUAAAUUAGUAGAAGAAGCAGAACAAAGUGGUAUACAAGGUAAUGUGGAACAAGCUCAAGGUUUAAUGAGAUUAUGUGAUCAAUUAAAAGAAGAACGAGAAACAUUAAGGAAAUCUAAUGACAAUAGUCAUUAUAAUCAGACUGCCGAAUUAGCUGCUGCACAAGAAAAACAAAUGGAAGUAUGUGAUGUAUGUGGUGCAUUUCUUAUUGUUGGAGAUGCACAACAACGAAUUGACGAUCAUCUAAUGGGUAAACAACAUGUUGGAUAUGCUAGAUUAAAGAGUGCUCUUCAAGAAAUUAUGAGUAAACGUGAAAAAGCUAGAGAUGAAAAAGAACAAAGAAGAGAAGAAGAUAGGAAACAAAGAGCACGUGCCAAUGAAGAACUUGAUAGACGAAGAAGAGAUGAUCGAGAUAGAGAUAGAGAAAGAGAUAAACGCCGUAGACGCGAUGAUGAUAAAGGCAGACAUGAUUCAGGCAGUCAUAGAAAUUCGGGACACAGAAGUAGAAGUAGAUCAAGAGAUAAACAUGAGAGACAUCGAGAUGAUGAUCACCGACGUCAUGCACGAGAUAAAGGAAAUCGUGAUCAUCGAAGCUCGAGUCAUCACAACCGGCGACGCCAUCGAUCUAGAAGUCGAAGUCACAAGUAACAACUCUUGAUUGGUUAGUGAGUGAGAAGUAAGCCAGGUAUGCACUAAACAAUAUAGCAUAUUCGUCUCAAUUACUGUACAGGUUCUUUACCAGGUGAGUUUCAUUAGAUGCACAUAAUAUAUACAUGAUAAUUAUCUGUAAUUUUGAAGAAUGGCAUAGUCACAGCGAGCCAGUCUCUGGUCCUGCCUAUUAAUCGGAGAAACACUUGUACUAAAUUUCAUAUGGACCUGUUUGUACAGCGUUUAAUUUUGAAAGUGACGAGCUUGCUCUAUGUAACAUAUUACUGAAAAACGGUGCAUCGAGGUAAUGUCGAGCAAGGAAUAGUAAUAUUGUUCCCAUACGAAAGGUAUUUUUAUCAUGUAGUAUUAUAGAUAUUGUCUACAGAGCAAGAUAGGAGAAGGUAUACCUAUGCUUGCUUUGAUCGGUAUAAUGUCUUCAUAGGGUAAAUCAAUUAUAUAAUUUCAACGACUGCAUAGCUUUUUUGUCGAAAAGAAAUUAGUGGUUUAGUGGAGGAAACAGUGCCUACUUCCGUAGACCUGCCACAACAGUGCCCUGUGUGACUGUGACUAUACAAUCCUAGCUUCUACUACGCAUUUCUGAGGUAUUUAUAUCGGAAUGAUAAUACCAAACAUGUCCUUUUAUUAGGAAAGUUAGACUUUUUCAAAAUGGUGAUCUUUAUUUUCGACGAUAUUCGAGUGCUUAUAAAGUUAUAAAGUUAUGAUAAUAAUCUCCUACUCUUACUUUCCUUAUUCCCUGAUUGCAAUUUAUUGGAGCAUAUUCUAUUUAAAAAUCGAAAAAUUAUCAAUUAGUCAGGGAAAAUUUCUGCUAUGAACUCAAAAGGAACAAUUUUAAUAUUUGAAUUUAAGAGAAUAAAGUAAUAGUUUAUUAUAACAGAUUCAUAUGUAUAGUCCAGAAAUGUAUAUUUAUUUAACAGCCAUGUGGCUAUUAUUGAUUCAGAAUGUAAUUUUGGCAUAUAGUCUUAUCGUCGUCAUUUGAACUUUAUUUGUAAAAGUUCGAGUAACAUGUAUCAUAUAUGAUGCAUUCUUCCCUUUGCAUGCAUUUUUUCUCCAUUAUUUUUAGUUUUGAGAGACAGGACAUGGCGAAGCUCGGUCAAAUUUUUCUAUUAGAAAGUCGUAUACAUAUAAAUCUCAUAGUAUCAUGGUACAGCGAUUUGAAGGUUGAUGACAGGUCACGUGGAAUGUAUCUUAUGGUGCUCCGAGGACAUCUCCUUUAAUCAUAUCUUAUUCUUUUGUCGCGCCCUUCAUUUCGGCUUAUAGAGAACUCAUACUUUAUGCGCGUACUACAUUUGUGUAUUUCAUAUUAAAUCAUAAUAAAUCAUUUAUAUACAUUUAAUAAUUUGUUUUCUGAACCAA
Apis mellifera (honey bee) is the source of this 2689-nucleotide RNA transcript. It is a transcript of the gene named luc7-like protein 3, with no coding region annotated. Lineage: Eukaryota; Metazoa; Arthropoda; Insecta; Hymenoptera; Apidae. The record is from RefSeq and is marked validated. The transcript has 7 exons.